AUGCAGAUGGCGGCGACCACCACCACCACCGACUCCUCCCAGGCGGGCGCGUGCCGCCUCACCACCCUCACCCUCACGCCCACCCGCACCCGCACGCGCACCCGCACCCGCACCACCCCAUGGCGCAGGCGCGGUGGGUCGUCCUGCCUUACCCGCCUCCGCCGCCGCCCAUGGUGGCCGCUCCGCCGCCCCCGCCGCCGCAGUACGCCAAGCACUUCGCGGCGGGGCCGCCCCCCGCCGCGGCGGCCGGGCGGCGCACGCCGACCCCGCCCGCCCCCGCCGGAUCCGGCGGGAACGGGUGCGAGGAGAACAAGACGAUCUGGGUUGGCGACCUCCAGUAUUGGAUGGACGAGAACUACCUCCACAGCUGUUUCGGACCCAGCGGCGAGGUAGUGACGAUAAAAGUUAUCCGCAAUAGACAAACUGGACAAUCCGAGGGAUAUGGUUUUGUAGAGUUCUACUCUCACGGAUCGGCAGAGAAGGCUCUUCAGAAUUUUACUGGUCAUGUGAUGCCUAACACUGAUCGACCUUUCAAGUUAAACUGGGCUUCAUAUAGCAUGGGUGAAAAGCGAUCUGAAGUUGCUUCUGACUACUCAAUUUUCGUUGGUGAUCUAGCUGCUGAUGUUACUGAUGAAAUGUUGAUGGAGCUUUUUGCUAAUAAGUACCGCUCUGUGAAAGGAGCUAAAGUUAUUAUUGAUGCAAACACAGGCCGUUCUAGGGGCUAUGGGUUUGUUAGAUUUGGAGAUGACAAUGACAAAUCCCAUGCAAUGACUGAAAUGAAUGGUGCGUAUUGCUCUACUAGGCCAAUUCGUAUUGGACCUGCAACUCCCAGAAGGUCUUCAGGUGAUUCUGGCUCCUCAACACCUGGGCAUUCAGAUGGCGAUUCUACUAACAGAACGGUAUAUGUUGGUGGGCUCGAUCCAAAUGUCAGCGAAGAUGAGCUGAGGAAGGCAUUUGCCAAAUAUGGUGAUGUUGCCUCUGUAAAAAUUCCUCUAGGGAAGCAAUGUGGCUUUGUUCAAUUCGUCAGCAGAACUGAUGCGGAAGAAGCACUGCAAGGAUUGAAUGGAUCAGUCAUUGGAAAGCAGGCAGUUCGCCUUUCAUGGGGCCGCAGCCCAUCACAUAAACAGUCUAGGGCUGAUUCUGGCAGCCGAAGAAACAAUAUGUACUAUGGGACGCCAUUCUACGGUGGAUACGGUUAUGCCUCCCCCGUCCCGCACCCUAACAUGUAUGCUGCUGCAUAUGGAGCCUACCCUGUCUAUGGCAGUCAGCAGCUAGUGAGCUAGAGAAGAGAGAGAGAGAGAGAGCUUCAUUCCAUUCCCUCCAAUGGAAAACAAGGUUUUGGUCCGGUCAGCAUGGUAGCGCCAGAUGUGAGGUUAUAGAACGUCCUAAAAGCGAGUGAAACAGGUAAAAUGAAUGUAUGGUAUCUGUAGUGUUGUCUGUGUUGCAAGAAGUAUAACUCAAGGCUUGUAGACACAAGUGAGUCGAUGGUAUUCUUUCAAGAAAUUUUGACUUGCUAAUAAAUUAAACUAUUGUUUGUGUGUCCCCGUUGUGCGAAGUAAUUUGCCUGU
Oryza sativa Japonica Group (Japanese rice) is the source of this 1568-nucleotide non-coding RNA. NCBI's taxonomy places the organism in Eukaryota, Viridiplantae, Streptophyta, Magnoliopsida, Poales, Poaceae. The record is from RefSeq and is a predicted model, not a curated record.